This 374-nucleotide unclassified non-coding RNA is filed under the name uncultured Bacteroidales bacterium. RNAcentral describes it as "contains 16S-23S intergenic spacer region". The record is from RNAcentral. Lineage: Bacteria; Pseudomonadati; Bacteroidota; Bacteroidia; Bacteroidales.
UCUCGGUUUACACCGGCAGUUUCGUUAGAGUCCCCGGCUUGACCCGCUGGCAACUAACGAUAAGGGUUGCGCUCGUUAUGGGACUUAACCCGACACCUCACGGCACGAGCUGACGACAACCAUGCAGCACCUUGAAGAGAGUCCCGUAGGAAAGAGCUGUUUCCAACUCAUGCACUCUCCAUUUAAGCCCAGGUAAGGUUCCUCGCGUAUCAUCGAAUUAAACCACAUGUUCCACCGCUUGUGCGGGCCCCCGUCAAUUCCUUUGAGUUUCAACCUUGCGGCCGUACUCCCCAGGUGGAUCACUUAACGCUUUCGCUUAGUCGCUGACUGUGUAUCGCCAACAACGAGUGAUCAUCGUUUACAGCGUGGACUAC